GACGAACGCUGGCGGCGUGCUUAACACAUGCAAGUCGAACGGAAAGGCCCCUUUGGGGGUACUCGAGUGGCGAACGGGUGAGUAACACGUGAGUAACCUGCCCUUGACUUCGGGAUAACUUCAGGAAACUGGGGCUAAUACCGGAUAGGAAUCCUUGCUGCAUGGUGGGGGUUGGAAAGCUUCGGCGGUUUUGGAUGGACUCGCGGCUUAUCAGCUUGUUGGUGGGGUAGUGGCUUACCAAGGCUUUGACGGGUAGCCGGCCUGAGAGGGCGACCGGCCACAUUGGGACUGAGAUACGGCCCAGACUCCUACGGGAGGCAGCAGUGGGGAAUAUUGCACAAUGGGCGGAAGCCUGAUGCAGCAACGCCGCGUGCGGGAUGACGGCCUUCGGAUUGUAAACCGCUUUCAGCAGGGGCGAAGCUUGUGGUGACGGUACCUGCAGAAGAAGCACCGGCUAACUACGU
This 464-nucleotide ribosomal RNA is filed under the name uncultured bacterium. RNAcentral describes it as "partial 16S ribosomal RNA". It matches the Rfam family "Bacterial small subunit ribosomal RNA", at positions 28 to 506 of the family's 1533-position model. The record is from RNAcentral.